GUAAACCAAAGGCCUUGCUUUGCUCCAGCUGGAUCCCUCACGUAUUGGUGCCAUUAACAGGUGUCUUUCAAUUUGAUUAAGACACCCAAAGGAUAGAAAUCCUUCUCCAGACCAGCACAUAACUUUGCUCAAGCCACCUGUUGCACCAUCAAACGGAAGCGGAUUUCACGUGCAAUAGCGGUAGCAAUAGAAGACCCUCCAAUUAAUUGGAUGCUUCUGGGCUGACUUGGAACCAAAAGAGACAAACUCUCUUAUUGUCCUUUGUGUGCUGUAACUUUCCCAAGGUCAAUAACUCAAGAAAUCCUCUUGCCUUUCACGUGACUGUGCUGCCAGCUUGAAGGCUUUGGAGUUUGGUGGAGGAAACCACCUGUCAUUUUGCUUCAGAAACCCAAGAGAGAACUUGUGGCAGCAAACACUCAUGAGGAGGCAAUUCAAUUUCCAUGCGCCCCUUUUGGUUUCGGAUGCUUCAUGCAGAAAUUUUACACAGGGACUUGUAAUUACAAGCCUUUGCUCUUUUGAUUUUGAUCCCAUGGUGGGUUCAUCUCUACAUCCAUGAUUUGAGAGAUUCUUUGCUCCUGGAAGAGCUUAUUUGGUGGUGCAUGAUGGAAUAGACUAUGCCAUAAAACAUGAUGAUUGAAAUCAUCAUGGAAGGCAAACCUGAAAACACUGCUGGAGUUCUUUGAGCGGAGCCAAGCCUCGGAGAGAUUCUUAACCUUGGUUAUGAUGAUUUCAAUCAUCAUAGCCAAGAAUUUCUGUGGAUUGAUCAAACAAACUGCUGGGUGCGGAUCGUAUCCUCGGAAUUACUUGAGCGGAGCUGUCCCUUAGAGAGAUUACUGACCCUUUUUAUGAUGAUAGAAAUCAUCAUGGCCAGGAACCCUUGAGUUGAAUGGAACCAGAAAUCUUGAGCAAAAAAAAAUCAGAAAAUUGUGCCAUGAAACUAAUCUUUUUACCUUGAAAUGGCUCUUUCCUUUCUCAAGUCUGCUUGCUAAUUUUUCUUCUUGCUCUGACUGUUCUCCUUUCUGCU
This is a long non-coding RNA of Prunus dulcis (almond), 1024 nucleotides long. RefSeq lists it as uncharacterized. Lineage: Eukaryota; Viridiplantae; Streptophyta; Magnoliopsida; Rosales; Rosaceae. The transcript is spliced from 5 exons. The record is from RefSeq and is a predicted model, not a curated record.